UGUAGUUUGAWUUCUGGCUCAGGACGAACGCUGGCGGCGUGCUUAACACAUGCAAGUCGAACGAUGAAGCCCUUCGGGGUGGAUUAGUGGCGAACGGGUGAGUAACACGUGGGCAAUCUGCCCUUCACUCUGGGACAAGCCCUGGAAACGGGGUCUAAUACCGGAUACGAGUCCGGGAGGCAUCUCCUGGACUGGAAAGCUCCGGCGGUGAAGGAUGAGCCCGCGGCCUAUCAGCUUGUUGGUGGGGUAAUGGCCUACCAAGGCGACGACGGGUAGCCGGCCUGAGAGGGCGACCGGCCACACUGGGACUGAGACACGGCCCAGACUCCUACGGGAGGCAGCAGUGGGGAAUAUUGCACAAUGGGCGAAAGCCUGAUGCAGCGACGCCGCGUGAGGGAUGACGGCCUUCGGGUUGUAAACCUCUUUCAGCAGGGAAGAAGCGAAAGUGACGGUACCUGCAGAGAGCGCCGRYU
RNAcentral lists this ribosomal RNA (473 nucleotides) under Streptomyces sp. RNAcentral describes it as "bacterial SSU rRNA". The record is from RNAcentral. Lineage: Bacteria; Bacillati; Actinomycetota; Actinomycetes; Kitasatosporales; Streptomycetaceae.